GUGGGGAAUUUUGGACAAUGGGCGAAAGCCUGAUCCAGCCAUGCCGCGUGCAGGAAGAAGGCCUUCGGGUUGUAAACUGCUUUUGUCAGGAACGAAAGGCCACGGGUGAAUAAUCUGUGGAUAUGACGGUACCUGAAGAAUAAGCACCGGCUAACUACGUGCCAGCAGCCGCGGUAAUACGUAGGGUGCGAGCGUUAAUCGGAAUUACUGGGCGUAAAGCGUGCGUAGGCGGUUUUGUAAGACCGAUGUGAAAUCCCCGGGCUUAACCUGGGAACUGCAUUGGUUACUGCAAGGCUUGAGUACGGUAGAGGGGGAUGGAACUCCGCGUGUAGCAGUGAAAUGCGUAGAUAUGCGGAAGAACACCAAUGGCGAAGGCAGUCCCCUGGGCCUGUACUGACGCUCAUGCACGAAAGCGUGGGGAGCAAACAGGAUUAGAAACCCGAGUAGUCC
RNAcentral lists this ribosomal RNA (450 nucleotides) under uncultured bacterium. RNAcentral's name for it is "partial 16S ribosomal RNA". It matches the Rfam family "Bacterial small subunit ribosomal RNA", at positions 354 to 796 of the family's 1533-position model. The record is from RNAcentral.